AGUGAUUGUCCUGCCCCAUGCUAAGUACUAGUGCCGCAGGUGUCUGUUUAUUGUACCCCUGCAGACUGGUGCUUAACGUGGAACAGGUAAUAAUGCCACCC
Molecule: microRNA precursor, 101 nt
Filed under: Branchiostoma floridae (Florida lancelet)
Lineage: Eukaryota; Metazoa; Chordata; Leptocardii; Amphioxiformes; Branchiostomatidae
Description: microRNA bfl-mir-252a precursor
Gene: bfl-mir-252a
Rfam family: mir-252 microRNA precursor family (bases 13-84)
Source: miRBase by way of RNAcentral